This 479-nucleotide ribosomal RNA is filed under the name Gemella morbillorum. Its description in RNAcentral is "bacterial SSU rRNA". It matches the Rfam family "Bacterial small subunit ribosomal RNA", at positions 28 to 480 of the family's 1533-position model. The record is from RNAcentral. Lineage: Bacteria; Bacillati; Bacillota; Bacilli; Caryophanales; Gemellaceae.
GACGAACGCUGGCGGCGUGCCUAAUACAUGCAAGUCGAGCGAAGUUUUUCUGGUGCUUGCACUAGAAAAACUUAGCGGCGAACGGGUGAGUAACACGUAAAGAACCUGCCUCAUAGACUGGGACAACUAUUGGAAACGAUAGCUAAUACCGGAUAACAGUAUUUCUCGCAUGGGAGAUAUUUAAAAGUUGGUUAUGCUAACACUAUGAGAUGGCUUUGCGGUGCAUUAGCUAGUUGGUGGGGUAAAGGCCCACCAAGGCGACGAUGCAUAGCCGACCUGAGAGGGUGAUCGGCCACACUGGGACUGAGACACGGCCCAGACUCCUACGGGAGGCAGCAGUAGGGAAUCUUCCGCAAUGGGCGAAAGCCUGACGGAGCAACGCCGCGUGAGUGAAGAAGGAUUUCGGUUCGUAAAGCUCUGUUGUUAGGGAAAGAAAUGGGAUAUGUAGUAAACUAUACCAUGUACGGAGGACGGUACCC